This 496-nucleotide ribosomal RNA is filed under the name uncultured soil bacterium. RNAcentral's name for it is "bacterial SSU rRNA". It matches the Rfam family "Bacterial small subunit ribosomal RNA", at positions 26 to 517 of the family's 1533-position model. The record is from RNAcentral.
AGAUUGAACGCUGGCGGCAGGCCUAACGCAUGCAAGUCGAGCGGUAGAGAGGUGCUUGCACCUCUUGAGAGCGGCGGACGGGUGAGUAAUGCCUAGGAAUCUGCCUAGUGGUGGGGGAUAACGUUCGGAAACGGACGCUAAUACCGCAUACGUCCUACGGGAGAAAGCGGGGGACCUUCGGGCCUCGCGCCAUUAGAUGAGCCUAGGUCGGAUUAGCUAGUUGGUGAGGUAAUGGCUCACCAAGGCGACGAUCCGUAACUGGUCUGAGAGGAUGAUCAGUCACACUGGAACUGAGACACGGUCCAGACUCCUACGGGAGGCAGCAGUGGGAAUAUUGGACAAUGGGCGAAAGCCUGAUCCAGCCAUGCCGCGUGUGUGAAGAAGGUCUUCGGAUUGUAAAGCACUUUAAGUUGGAGGAAGGUUGUAACUUAAUACGUUGACAACUUUGACGUUACCGACAGAAUAAGCACCGGACUAACUUCGUGUCCAGCAGCCG